UUCUGACUUGUCUUGAAUCCAGUUUCUUUAUGAUCCUUAAUGUAAGCAGGAUGCAGAUGCCUGGCCUGGAUUGCUUUUGAGCCCAUGCACUAGCCCAUAUUUAGGCAUCUAAACAGUUUUGGAUCAUGCUUUAUGAAUCACGUGCCCCAGCUCUGUCCUCCAAGAUGGAUUUGUUUUUGGGCACUAAUGGCAAUAGCUUGCUGGCAUGCUCAUUUGUGCUGAAGCUGCUUUCAGGUGACCUGAAUCAAGCUUUUCUUACAUGGCUCUUCUCUAAAUUGGAAAUCUGCCCCAGCUGGGCUUCCUCCCACACAGGAAGGAACUGCAGAAAGGGACUCAAUUCUGGCUUUGCCUCCUUUGGAGAGGUUACCUGCUGUCCUUGCAACUGGCAUCAGCUCAAGCAGCUCCUUCUCUGUAUAAGACUGAUAAAACCACUUCCACUUCUUGAGGCAAAAGCAUGACUGAAGUGGAGAGAGGGGAGAACAGUUUCUUAGUUAUCUCACAAGACUUGGCGGGACUAUGACAGGAACCUUGUCCAAGUAAAGCUGAUCUGGCUAUGUUAAAACACACUUCACUGGAGAAACUUGGAACGCCUUACUUUGUUAAAGAUAUCUGUCCCAUGCAGCUGUGUGCCUACAAAAAAUUAUAUGAGGCUGCCAUUUCAGUGUGGUGAUAAAGCAAACGGCUUAGGUUAUGUGGGGAUUAUUAACAAGUGUCUUGAGUAAGCAAUAUUAAAAAAAGCUUGCUUCCUUCUUGCAAUUAUCUUACUAAUAUUUCCCAUUGCUCAUAUUUCAAGAUUUCUUAGUUGUUGAACUACUUAAGGUUAUUAAUACCCACUGCCAUAUAGCUCACUUGACAUAAUAGCAGAAUGGGGCAGCUGAAUUUAUUA
This is a long non-coding RNA of Alligator sinensis (Chinese alligator), 886 nucleotides long. RefSeq lists it as uncharacterized. The record is from RefSeq and is a predicted model, not a curated record. The transcript is spliced from 3 exons. Lineage: Eukaryota; Metazoa; Chordata; Crocodylia; Alligatoridae.